Vidua macroura (Pin-tailed whydah) is the source of this 2439-nucleotide long non-coding RNA. RefSeq lists it as uncharacterized. The record is from RefSeq and is a predicted model, not a curated record. NCBI's taxonomy places the organism in Eukaryota, Metazoa, Chordata, Aves, Passeriformes, Viduidae. The transcript is spliced from 2 exons.
AUAAACUGUGGUAACUUGUUUGUUCAUCAAAAGAAUUGGAAUAUUAAAGGAGGAAAUAUAAAAAUUAAAGUAUAAGGGACUAGCCUGCUUGUUAGGAGAUAGGGGAGGACAAUAAAAAAAAGCAACUGCUACAAACCGCAAGGCUAUAGACAUAUUGCAAAACCGCAAGAUCACAAGUAUGAUUAAUCACCAUAUAGGGAGCUUUUUGUAGCUUUUUUGCAGACACAGGCUAAGGAUGUCGGGGGAUGGCCGGAGCUGAUUAUGAAAUCAGCGACCACCAGGCAACGGCCACCGGACUAGACAACGUAGGAGUGCUCCAGGUACGCCCAUCACUGUCCGAAGCUGAUUGUGAAAUCAGCGAUCACCUGCCUCGACACAAUGCAGAAACGACGCAGAGAGAUGCUCAAGCUACGCACACCGCUAUCGCAAAAGACACGAAUGAAGAAACCUCCAAGAAACUAUAAAAAGAAACUGAAUAAGGGAGUGGGGUGUGGGGCACUGCAGUGUGGGACACUGCAGGAGGGGCGGUUAGGAGACCCCUACCCACCCAGCGCUGUUUUGCUUGCUACUGCUUGCUGUAAUUAAUAAAAUUCUAAUUGACCUUAAAAAGGCUGAAUCAAAUUAUUCGCCUCAAUUUAUCACAAUUUGGUGCCGUGACUCGGAUAAAGGAAACCCGGGAGGGAGGCCCCACUAGGGUGAGGCGCCCCACCGCCUUUUUGCGGUGGACCUAAGGGGGGGCUUCCUCCUUGGGCCUUUACCGACGAACCUAAAACUCAGUAGCAAGCAAAGGUACCCCCGUUAAUCUUUGUGCACGAAGAACCGCGGAAGAGUGAACACGCAGGAAGCAAACGGCAGUCAGGACGGCCGAAAAGGGGUGGACUCACGCCAGCCGAGUGAAAGGCCCGGUUGCCACAAAUAACCAGUGGAGAGUGACUAGCCAGCCUGGGAACUUGAAAGUGACUCUUAAGAAAAACUAAUGAACUCUGUGGACAUUAUCCAAAUCAACCAUAAGGGGAAGCAAAGGGAUACAAUUACAAACUAGCUAAAGACUAUAUAGUGAUUUGUAAUAAGGAAGGUUGUGGAGAUUGUUAUCCUUUUGUGUGCUUUAUAUGUAAAAUUUGCCAAGAACAGUGGUGGGUCCAUUGCCAGAGGGGAAGACCACCAAUUGGGGUUUGUACUGAGUGCUAUAAAACUCAGUGAAAAUUAACUGAAACUGUGCUAAGGAUAGGAGAAUUGGAAAAUCGGUGGGUCAGUUUUGGAUCUGAGUGGUGGGAAAUAUUCUUGUUUUCAUACUAACGAGCCCACUCCAUUUGCUGCUCAGAUAAUAAAAGGGUGUUGUCGAAAGGAACUGAAGGGGAUUCCUUGCAACCCACCUCUGGUCAAAGAUAAGAACUGGGAACAGUACAAGGCUAGGCAGGAGCGGAAAAGGGGAUGCUCAGGCGAGUACUGCUGCUGCCGAGAAGAUGGUUUACCUCGCGGCUCGAAGCACCCGAGUCGGCGAGCGAGGCAGAGAGGAAAAGGCCAAGCCCCCUCUAAGUGGAACAAUGCUGAAAUGCUCCAACUAUUGCCAGCCGAGUACUAGGAUCCCUCAAAGGACCAGUCUAAGUGCCUCCGAAACACCAAGGGAGCAGCAAGCCAAAAAGGGGAAAACAGGAUAUUACGUAACAAAAACAAGGCUAGGACUCCACCCUUAUUGGCAAAUUAUUAGUUUUCUAUUGCUCUGUCCUAGUGGUGUUUCUAGUCAGGACAAUGCUGAACACUUUACUUCUAGCCUACGAAGCAGCAAAGCGAUUUGAUGAACAAAAUGGUAAAAGAGAAAAUGGGGGAUUGUGAUAAACUGUGGUAACUUGUUUGUUCAUCAAAAGAAUUGGAAUAUUAAAGGAGGAAAUAUAAAAAUUAAAGUAUAAGGGACUAGCCUGCUUGUUAGGAGAUAGGGGAGGACAAUAAAAAAGCAACUGCUACAAACCGCAAGGCUAUAGACAUAUUGCAAAACCGCAAGAUCACAAGUAUGAUUAAUCACCAUAUAGGGAGCUUUUUGUAGCUUUUUUGCAGACACAGGCUAAGGAUGUCGGGGGAUGGCCGGAGCUGAUUAUGAAAUCAGCGACCACCAGGCAACGGCCACCGGACUAGACAACGUAGGAGUGCUCCAGGUACGCCCAUCACUGUCCGAAGCCGAUUGUGAAAUCAGCGAUCACCUGCCUCGACACAACGCAGAAACGACGCAGAGAGAUGCUCAAGCUACGCACACCGCUAUCGCAAAAGACACGAAUGAAGAAACCUCCAAGAAACUAUAAAAAGAAACUGAAUAAGGGAGUGGGGUGUGGGGCACUGCAGUGUGGGACACUGCAGGAGGGGCGGUUAGGAGACCCCUACCCACCCAGCGCUGUUUUGCUUGCUACUGCUUGCUGUAAUUAAUAAAAUUCUAAUUGACCUUAAAAA